UGGUUGAUCCCGCCGGAGGUUACUGCUAUCGAGGUUCGACUAAGCCAUGCGAGUCGAAUGUAGCAAUACAUGGCGUACUGCUCAGUAACACGUGGACAACCUACCCUGAGGCCGGGGAUAAACCCGGGAAACUGGGUAUAAUACCCGAUAGAUCUAGAUUGCUGGAAUGCUUUUAGGUCUAAAGUUCCGACGCCUCAGGAUGGGUCUGUGGCCUAUCAGGGUAGUAGUGGGUGUAAAGUACCUACUAGCCUACGACGGGUACGGGUUGUGAGAGCAAGAGCCCGGAGAUGGAUUCUGAGACACGAAUCCAGGCCCUACGGGGUGCAGCAGGCGCGAAACCUUUACAAUGCUGGCAACAGCGAUAAGGGGACCUCGAGUGCUACGAUACAAUCGUGGCUGUCUAGUUGCCUAAAAAGCAAUUGAUAGCAAGGGCCGGGCAAGACCGGUGCCAGCCGCCGCGGUAACACCGGCGGCUCGAGUGGUAACCGCUAUUAUUGGGUCUAAAGGGUCUGUAGCCGGCUUAGUUAGUCUCUUGAGAAAUCUGGCCGCUCAACGGUCAGGCGCUCAGGGGAUACUGCUAAAGCUCGGGACCGGGAGAGGUGGGAGGUACUUCAGGGGUAGGGGUGAAAUCUUGUAAUCCUUGAAGGACCACCAGUGGCGAAGGCGUCUCACCAGAACGGAUCUGACGGCAAGGGACGAAAGCUAGGGGCACGAACCGGAUUAGAUACCCGGGUAGUCCUAGCCGUAAACGAUACUCGCUAGGUGUCGGCCACGGUGCGACCGUGGUCGGUGCCGUAGGGAAGCCGUGAAGCGAGCCACCUGGGAAGUACGGCCGCAAGGCUGAAACUUAAAGGAAUUGGCGGGGGAGCACUACAACGGGUGGAGCUUGCGGUUUAAUUGGAUUCAACGCCGGAAAUCUUACCGGGGCCGACAGCGAUAUGAAGGUCAGGCUAAGGACCUUGCCUGAUUAGCUGAGAGGUGGUGCAUGGCCGUCGUCAGUUCGUACUGUGAAGCAUCCUGUUAAGUCAGGCAACGAGCGAGACCCA
RNAcentral lists this ribosomal RNA (1046 nucleotides) under uncultured archaeon. RNAcentral describes it as "bacterial SSU rRNA". It matches the Rfam family "Archaeal small subunit ribosomal RNA", at positions 5 to 1054 of the family's 1478-position model. The record is from RNAcentral.